UUGAUCUCAAAUCAGGUGGGACUACCCGCUGAACUUAAGCAUAUCAAUAAGCGGAGGAAAAGAAACUAACGAGGAUUCCCCUAGUAACUGCGAGUGAAGCGGGAAAAGCUCAAAUUUGAAAUCUGGCGGUCUGUUGGCCGUCCGAGUUGUAGUCUGGAGAAGUGCUUUCCGCGCCGGACCAUGUAAAAGUCCUCUGGAAUGGGGCGUCAUAGAGGGUGAGAAUCCCGUCUUUGACAUGGACCGCCGGUGCUUUGUGAUGCGCUCUCGAAGAGUCGAGUUGUUUGGGAAUGCAGCUCAAAAUGGGUGGUGAAUUCCAUCUAAAGCUAAACAUUGGCGAGAGACCGAUAGCGAACAAGUACCGUGAGGGAAAGAUGAAAAGCACUUUGGAAAGAGAGUUAAACAGUACGUGAAAUUGUUGAAAGGGAAACGCUUGAAGUCAGUCGUGUCGUCUGGGAUUCAGCCUUGCUAUCUUGCUUGGUGCACUUUCCAGUUCGAUGGGCCAGCAUCGAUUUUGACCGCCGGACAAAGGUGGGGGAAAGGUGGCAUCCUUUACUGGGUGUGUUAUAGUCUCUCGUCGGUAUACGGUGGCCAGGAUCGAGGAACUCAGCACGCCCUUUUGUGGUCGGGGC
Molecule: ribosomal RNA, 629 nt
Filed under: Albatrellus ellisii
Lineage: Eukaryota; Fungi; Basidiomycota; Agaricomycetes; Russulales; Albatrellaceae
Description: eukaryotic LSU rRNA
Rfam family: Eukaryotic large subunit ribosomal RNA
Source: RNAcentral